UUCUUAUAAUCUUAUAGUUUUGUUGUCUAAGUUCUAUAUACUUGAUUCCAACUAGAUAUUAAAAAGCAGGUAAAUACAAAUGAUUGAUGUAUGUAAAAAUCCUCAGUAAUUAGUUUAGGACCACUGGAUGACUCUGCAUAUUUCUAAUUAGAUAUAUUGACAGAUUUCACACCCAUAGAAUGAAGAGGGAAAAUGACUAAAACUUCCUUAAAUUAGUAUAUAAUAUCUUUGAUAUUAGAGAGAGAAUGUGAUCUACAUUCCCUGUGUUGUUUUCCACAUUCAUUUUCCCACUGUGACCACUGUGAAAUCAGACCUAAGUCAGUGUAGUGGAAUUAAAUCACAUGGAAGAGAACUCAGGUUUCUCAGGUAAAGCCUUAUUACCCAGUGUUCUGCAGGUUAUACACUCAUUAACAAUGUUAUACACUCUUGAGGCUGGCAGAAACCUACACUUGUGAAGAGUAAUACAGAGCUGAUAUUUUAAGCAACAGAGGUUUUUUUUAAAAAUAUUUAGUUAUUUAUUUGAAAGAGUUACAGAGAGAGAAGAGGGAGAGAGAGACAGAGAGAGAGAGAGAGAGAGAGAGAGAGAGAGAUCUUUCAUCCGUUGAUUCACUCCCCAAUUGGCCGCAAUGGCCGGAGCUGUGCCGAUCUGAAGCCAAGAGCCAGCAGCUUCUUCUGGGUCUCUCAUGUGGGUGCAGGGGCCCAAGGAUUUUGAGCCAUGUUCUACUACUUUCCCAGGCCACAGCAGAGAACUGGAUCAGAAGUGGAGCAUCCAGGACUCAAACUGGCACCCUUAUGGGAUAUCAGCACUGCAGGCGGCGGCUUUACCCACUAUGCCACAGCACCAACCCCAUCAACUGAAGAACUGGCCACAUUGGCUUACUGUAUACUCGUCUGAACUACACUUUGAAGAGGAACGGGAUUUGGAAGCUUGAAUUUAUAGUAGCACCAGCUGAAGCUCCAUGGGCAUCUUACCCCAGCUUGACUAGAGUGCCACUUCUGUCUGUUUUACUGAUAGGUGCCUUUCAGCCUGCAUUUCUACCUGGUUCUUCCCUUAGAGUAGUGUGGGUGGUCUCACCUGCUCCUGGAUUUUGUGCCCCCUUUUGAUUGUUAUGAAAUUAAAAUAUUAUAUAAAUAAGGUUUGGUUUCCAGGCAGCCUGAUUUUUUUAAUUUUUUAAAAGAUGUCUUUUCUUAUUUGACAAUGAACAACAGAAAAGAGAGGGACACACACACACACUCACAUACACAAAUGCACACAGAGAGUGAGAGUGAGAGCAAGAGAGAGAGAGAGAGAGAGAGAGAGAGAGAGAGAGAAUGUUCUAUUCACUAGUUAACUCCCUAAAUGGCUGUAACAGCCAACAUUGCCCCUGGCUGAAGCCAGGAACUUGGAACUCCACCCUGCUUUCCCACAUGGGUACAGGAACCUAAUCACUUGAGCCAUUUUUGUUUUCUUCCUGACACAUCAGGAGGACUGAAUUGAAAGUGGACCAUUCAAGAUGCCAACGGGUGGUUAUAUGGGAUGCCAGCAUUGAAGGCAGUGGCUCAAUCUGCUACACCACAAUGCUAGUGCCUAGAUAACUUCAUUUCAAUCUCAAAUUUUCCCUAAUGAAAACUCAACAACCAGUUGACUUUUAUUCCUAAUGUUUCAAAGCAUCUGAUUCUUCUGUCACCAGCAU
Long non-coding RNA from Oryctolagus cuniculus (rabbit), 1673 nucleotides. The record is from Ensembl. NCBI's taxonomy places the organism in Eukaryota, Metazoa, Chordata, Mammalia, Lagomorpha, Leporidae.